ACAUUCGGAUUGCUCCUGCUGCCUCACACACACUAACCUAACCAUCUUGGGGUGGACUCCCUGCCAGCCCAACUGUUGUAUUUUCAGUUCUUCCAGUGUGAAUCAGUUAAUAUUCUCGGGAACGAGGGAGAGGUUGAUCCUAUGAGGAAAUCAACCACAGUGAAAAGGCUUGGGCCGCUUUUGUUUUCACCUCCUUUUGUUGAACAAAUUUGAUUUCCGGAGUCAGUCAUUUUACUGUCAAGACAUUUCUUCGGCAUUCUGCAACAGGUGGGGAUUUAAGAACCAAGAAUCCAGAGCUCUCCUACCAGGUCCCCAGAAACCUUUCCAACGUGGCUAGAUCCAUCAGAAACUGAAGCCGUGGAGAACGCUCUCGGGGCCUUUGCCACUUCUUGGAGUAGAAGCCGACAGAGAGCUGUUUGGAAACUUCUCCUUCACACACCAGUUGAAGACUAGGCUUUGGAGGUUUUCAAAGCAGACGGUGCUUGGAUGGGCAGGGAGAAGUAACAUUCUGCAAAUCGCCGUCAGAGGUCCUGAGGACACAGACCUACCUGGCUUGCAUUCCCCUUGCUGAAUG
RNAcentral lists this small RNA (574 nucleotides) under Pan troglodytes (chimpanzee). RNAcentral describes it as "processed transcript". Lineage: Eukaryota; Metazoa; Chordata; Mammalia; Primates; Hominidae. The record is from RNAcentral.